This 260-nucleotide ribosomal RNA is filed under the name uncultured bacterium. RNAcentral's name for it is "partial 16S ribosomal RNA". It matches the Rfam family "Bacterial small subunit ribosomal RNA", at positions 91 to 354 of the family's 1533-position model. The record is from RNAcentral.
ACGAGUGGCGGACGGGUGAGUAAUGUCUGGGAAACUGCCCGGUGGAGGGGGAUAACUACUGGAAACGGUAGCUAAUACCGCAUAACGUCGCAAGACCAAAGAGGGGGACCUUCGGGCCUCUUGCCACCGGAUGUGCCCAGAUGGGAUUGGCUUGUUGGUGAGGUAACGGCUCACCAAGGCGACGAUCCCUAGCUGGUCUGAGAGGAUGACCAGCCACACUGGAACUGAGACACGGUCCAGACUCCUACGGGAGGCAGCAG